ACCGGUCCAGCAUCACUAGAGACAUCAACACCACCAACAAAAUUCAGAUCCAUAUAAUCCACCAACAAAAUUUAGAUCAUCACCAACAAAUUCACCACAAAUACAUACAAAUCCACCCAAUCUAUCAAUACUACAAAAAUCUACCCGAUCUACUUGAAAAUUAAUAACAAAAUUAAAGAAAGAAAUCGGAGAAGAUAACCACAAUAGAAGAAGGCAUCAUCGAGACACCACCAUUAGAGACCUCGCGAAUCUGAAAGCCUCCGCUUUGAGAGACCUCGCGAGUUUUUCUCCCAGUCUACUAGAGAACCACUAGCUUUCCGUAGCUUAUCCGCUGCCGGAAUCCCUGAAUCGCCGGAAUCAUUCACGAGGUAAGGUUGGUGAUUAGGGUUUAAGCGUCGGCGUGAGUGGAGGAGAGGAAAUCGACGGCCAGACGGAUCCAAUACAAGCUGAUAGAAGGCGAGGAUGAGCCGGAAAAGGUGAGAGUUUUGAGACGUCGGAGAAUUGUUUCUUCAAAGGAUCGAGAAACACCCAUGGCUGCUGCUUUUCUUCAAAGGAUCGAGAAAACCCAUGGAUGCUGCUGCUAUUCGAUUAAAACAGUAUAUAUUAAUAUUUAGUAAAAUAAUUUUAGUAUGUAAAAAGUAUAUAAUACUAAUAUUUAGUAAAAUAAUUUUAGUAUUUUAGUAUUUUUUAAUUAAUAAAAUAAUUUGAAUUUUAGUAUUUUUUUUAUUUUGAUUUUUUUAGCAUUUUAGUAUUUUUAAUUAGUAUUUUAAUAUUUUUUUAAUUAGUAUUUUAGUAUUUUUUAAUUAGUAUUUUAAUAUUUUUUAAUUAGUAUUUAGUAUUUUUUAAUUAGUAUUUUAAUAUUUUUUACUUAGUAUUUAGUAUAUUUUAAUUAGUAUUUUAAUAUUUUUUAAUUAGCAUUUAAAUAUUUUUUUAAUUAGUAUUUAGUAUUUUUCCAUGUGACAGCCACGUAUGCAAUUUGGAUGGAUGUUAGUCUAUGUGACAUGUCUGUCAACGGCAGGGACACAAAUGACCCAAAAACAUAACGUUGAGGGUAUUUUUGGACAAAACAAAAGUAUAGGAUACUCGGUAGACAUUGAAAAAAGUGUCAGGGACAUUUUUGGACCUUAUCCCCUUAAAGCUCAUAUUACAUAAAACUAAUUUUGGAAAAACUGUAGACCAGCGAGGCCGCGCCCCUUCGGAGCAGACUCUAUUCUUUUCAACUGCAGAACCCAGCACUCAAGCCAACUCUACUUACCUAGCCAUCCCAUAUGGCAUUAUAUAUACCCAGAAUAGUGAACACAUAUCUAGAAUUAGGAUUGUAUCACCAUUUAAAGUAUACAAAAUAGAAAUUUCAUAAUUUUUAGAUGAAUUCCUCUUUUAGGCAAUUUGAUAAAUGUCUUGUAGACAGAGUUUAAAAAGGUUAGUUUCAUAGAAGUUUGAGCAUCUUUCAACCCAGAUUUCUUAUAGAAAUCCGUUACAAACCAUCCUAAUAACCAUAUGCUACAUAAUUAGCCAUAAUUCAUGUUCAUAUACAUAGAACCCAAGUAUAAAAUUUCUUUAUUUUACUUAAGAGUCUAACCACUAAUCAUAAUCAAAGGUAGAUUAUUACCUUUUUAAACCAAAAUCCUUGCUUAAUCUUCUUCAAUCCUUCCAUUAGAACUUUCAAUUUCAGUUGCUAUCACAACUUUUGAAGUUUUGCAGAGUUU
RNAcentral lists this long non-coding RNA (1706 nucleotides) under Panax ginseng (ginseng). RNAcentral describes it as "long non-coding RNA (PGIN_LNC005426)". Lineage: Eukaryota; Viridiplantae; Streptophyta; Magnoliopsida; Apiales; Araliaceae. The record is from RNAcentral.